Thalassophryne amazonica is the source of this 351-nucleotide long non-coding RNA. RefSeq lists it as uncharacterized. The transcript has 2 exons. The record is from RefSeq and is a predicted model, not a curated record. Lineage: Eukaryota; Metazoa; Chordata; Actinopteri; Batrachoidiformes; Batrachoididae.
GUUCGUUCAGCUAUCGUUGUGUGCCGUGUGACCGGAGCCUUAAGGUAAAUUUAAAAUUAUGAGUGCUGAAAACAGUCAAAGUGCUAUGCUCAUUUCCAUAACAGCUACUCUCAUUUUAUAGGCGUGACAUCUGCAAAUAUAAGAUUGUUAAAAAGUUGUAUGCAUAAUUAAAUACACCUAUUAGAGCCCCUCACAAAGGUAUCCCAAGUGUGAUUAAUGCAGUGCAUAACUGAGUGACUCAUUUAAUUACCCCACUGGGUCUCCACCAACACAUGAUUGAAUUUCUCAAUUAUUUCUUCAGCUAAAGUGAUUAUAAUGAGACCAAUGCAGACAGGCUGUUAUGUGACUAAA